This 253-nucleotide ribosomal RNA is filed under the name uncultured prokaryote. RNAcentral describes it as "partial 16S ribosomal RNA". It matches the Rfam family "Bacterial small subunit ribosomal RNA", at positions 524 to 776 of the family's 1533-position model. The record is from RNAcentral.
GACAGAGGGGGCAAGCGUUGCUCGGAAUUACUGGGCGUAAAGGGCGCGUAGGCGGGAUGGUAAGUCGGUCGUGAAAUCCCUCGGCUCAACCGAGGAACGUCGAUCGAUACUACCGUUCUUGAGGAUUGCAGAGGAGACUGGAAUUCCCGGUGUAGCGGUGAAAUGUGUAGAUAUUGGGAGGAACACCGGUGGCGAGGGCGGCCCCCUGGACCGGUACUGACGCUGAGGCGCGAAAGCGUGGGUAGCAAACGGG